AACGAACGCUGGCGGCAGGCUUAACACAUGCAAGUCGAGCGCCCCGCAAGGGGAGCGGCAGACGGGUGAGUAACGCGUGGGAACGUACCUUUUGGUUCGGAACAACUCCGGGAAACUGGAGCUAGUACCGGAUAAGCCCUAACGGGGAAAGAUUUAUCGCCGAAAGAUCGGCCCGCGUCUGAUUAGCUAGUUGGUGAGGUAACGGCUCACCAAGGCGACGAUCAGUAGCUGGUCUGAGAGGAUGAUCAGCCACACUGGGACUGAGACACGGCCCAGACUCCUACGGGAGGCAGCAGUGGGGAAUAUUGGACAAUGGGCGCAAGCCUGAUCCAGCCAUGCCGCGUGAGUGAUGAAGGCCUUAGGGUUGUAAAGCUCUUUUGUCCGGGAAGAUAAUGACUGUACCGGAAGAAUAAGCCCCGGCUAACUUCGUG
RNAcentral lists this ribosomal RNA (431 nucleotides) under uncultured bacterium. RNAcentral's name for it is "partial 16S ribosomal RNA". It matches the Rfam family "Bacterial small subunit ribosomal RNA", at positions 29 to 507 of the family's 1533-position model. The record is from RNAcentral.